Molecule: ribosomal RNA, 468 nt
Filed under: uncultured bacterium
Lineage: Bacteria
Description: partial 16S ribosomal RNA
Rfam family: Bacterial small subunit ribosomal RNA
Source: RNAcentral
GACGAACGCUGGCGGCGUGCUUAACACAUGCAAGUCGAACGGAAAGGCCCUGCUUUUGUGGGGUGCUCGAGUGGCGAACGGGUGAGUAACACGUGAGUAACCUGCCCUUGACUUUGGGAUAACUUCAGGAAACUGGGGCUAAUACCGGAUAGGAGCUCCUGCUGCAUGGUGGGGGCUGGAAAGUUUCGGCGGUUGGGGAUGGACUCGCGGCUUAUCAGCUUGUUGGUGGGGUAGUGGCUUACCAAGGCUUUGACGGGUAGCCGGCCUGGGAGGGUGACCGGCCACAUUGGGACUGAGGUACGGCCCAGACUCCUACGGGAGGCAGCAGUGGGGAAUAUUGCACAAUGGGCGGAAGCCUGAUGCAGCAACGCCGCGUGCGGGAUGACGGCCUUCGGGUUGUAAACCGCUUUCGCCUGUGACGAAGCGUGAGUGACGGUAAUGGGUAAAGAAGCACCGGCUAACUACGUG